AACGAACGCUGGCGGCGUGCCUAACACAUGCAAGUCGAACGAGACCUUCGGGUCUAGUGGCGCACGGGUGCGUAACGCGUGGGAACCUGCCCUUAGGUUCGGAAUAACUCCCCGAAAGGGGUGCUAAUACCGGAUAAUGUCUUCGGACCAAAGAUUUAUCGCCUUUGGAUGGGCCCGCGUUGGAUUAGCUAGUUGGUAGGGUAAAAGCCUACCAAGGCGACGAUCCAUAGCUGGUCUGAGAGGAUGAUCAGCCACACUGGGACUGAGACACGGCCCAGACUCCUACGGGAGGCAGCAGUGGGGAAUAUUGGACAAUGGGCGAAAGCCUGAUCCAGCAAUGCCGCGUGAGUGAUGAAGGCCUUAGGGUUGUAAAGCUCUUUUACCCGGGAUGAUAAUGACAGUACCGGGAGAAUAAGCUCCGGCUAACUCCGU
Molecule: ribosomal RNA, 432 nt
Filed under: uncultured bacterium
Lineage: Bacteria
Description: partial 16S ribosomal RNA
Rfam family: Bacterial small subunit ribosomal RNA
Source: RNAcentral